Molecule: ribosomal RNA, 523 nt
Filed under: Isoptericola sp.
Lineage: Bacteria; Bacillati; Actinomycetota; Actinomycetes; Micrococcales; Promicromonosporaceae
Description: bacterial SSU rRNA
Rfam family: Bacterial small subunit ribosomal RNA
Source: RNAcentral
GCUUGCUGGGUGGAUCAGUGGCGAACGGGUGAGUAACACGUGAGCAACCUGCCCUCCACUUCGGGAUAAGCCUUGGAAACGGGGUCUAAUACCGGAUAUGAGCCUGCAUCGCAUGGUGUGGGUUGGAAAGUUUUUCGGUGGGGGAUGGGCUCGCGGCCUAUCAGCUUGUUGGUGGGGUGAUGGCCUACCAAGGCGUCGACGGGUAGCCGGCCUGAGAGGGCGACCGGCCACACUGGGACUGAGACACGGCCCAGACUCCUACGGGAGGCAGCAGUGGGGAAUAUUGCACAAUGGGCGAAAGCCUGAUGCAGCGACGCCGCGUGAGGGAUGACGGCCUUCGGGUUGUAAACCUCUUUCAGCAGGGAAGAAGCGCAAGUGACGGUACCUGCAGAAGAAGCGCCGGCUAACUACGUGCCAGCAGCCGCGGUAAUACGUAGGGCGCAAGCGUUGUCCGGAAUUAUUGGGCGUAAAGAGCUCGUAGGCGGUCUGUCGCGUCUGGUGUGAAAUCCCGAGGCUCAACCUC